Molecule: ribosomal RNA, 439 nt
Filed under: uncultured bacterium
Lineage: Bacteria
Description: partial 16S ribosomal RNA
Rfam family: Bacterial small subunit ribosomal RNA
Source: RNAcentral
CUACGGGUGGCAGCAGUGGGGAAUAUUGGACAAUGGGGGAAACCCUGAUCCAGCAAUUCCGCGUGGAUGAUGAAGGGUUUAGGCUCGUAAAGUCCUUUUAGUUGGGAAGAUAGUGACGGUACCAACAGAAAAAGCACCGGCUAAUUACGUGCCAGCAGCCGCGGUAAGACGUAAGGUGCAAGCGUUAUCCGGAAUUACUAGGCGUAAAGGGCAUCUAGGCGGCUAUGUAAGUCAGAGGUGAAAAGUCUGGGCUCAACCGAGGCCUUGCCUUUGAUACUGCAUAGCUAGAGUACGGGAGAGGAGGGCGGAACUACAAGUGUAGAGGUGAAAUUCGUAGAUAUUUGUAGGAAUGCCGAUUACGAAGGUAGCUCUCUGGACCGAUACUGACGCUGAAGUGCGAAAGCUAGGGGAGCGAACAGGAUUAGAUACCCUAGUAGUC